ACCGUCCAGUUGGUAGAGCAUGACACUCUUAAUCUCAGGGUUGUGGGUUUGAGCCUCGCGUUGGGCA
Podarcis lilfordi (Lilford's wall lizard) is the source of this 67-nucleotide non-coding RNA. The record is from the annotation of a GenBank genome assembly. Lineage: Eukaryota; Metazoa; Chordata; Lepidosauria; Squamata; Lacertidae.